Molecule: long non-coding RNA, 635 nt
Filed under: Prunus dulcis (almond)
Lineage: Eukaryota; Viridiplantae; Streptophyta; Magnoliopsida; Rosales; Rosaceae
Description: sRNA ncRNA
Source: RNAcentral
GGAGAAUAAAUGUCAUUAGAUGGACUAAACUGCGGAUUUAUAAGAGAUUAUUUAUAGGAAUUGCGGCUAAUCUUCCUUAACAUGAUACUAUACAUAAUCUUCUUAAUUUCAGAGAUAAAUCUUUUCUUACUGUAAUUAAUACAACAACAAACAUAAAACACACAUACAUAAUUAAAAAAAUCAUAGAUGAAGCAAAAGCAGUGAUGGUUUUUAGGACUAGUUUGCCAGGUUGGCAGUUGUUGCUGUGGUUGCAGUUUCCACUGUCUCUGGGCUUGAAGUUGACUCAAUUUUCUUGUCAUGGGCUUGUCGAGGACAAGACCAAGGCUUGCGACCUUCGUGAUCAUGAUGAUGACAACGUCUAGUAAUAAAAGCUCCAGCCAUGGCCCCCAACACAAACGUUACACCAGGUUUUAGAACACCCAUUUGGCUCAUCUUUUUUCUCGGAUUUAUGUUGGUCUCAAAGCUAGAUGGUAAUAGAAUAGUAUAGUGAGAAAGUUUUGGGAUUGGAAGUGUGAGGAAAACGGAAGAGUUUGAUGGGUUUUAUAUUGGAGUAUGGAGUGGUACUUUGAGUGCUGGGCAAGACUUUGGUUGGGUAAGGUUCACAUAUGGGAUAUGGCUAUUGGCUAGACCCUUUU